AGAAAGAGAUGUUAUCAACAGUCAUUCUUGUCACAGGAGUGAAGAAGCUCCUAAUUUCAGCAUGUAGUUAGACCAGCCGCUCUGUUUGGAUAAUUAAAUGGCAGCUGUGACAAGGUAGGCCUUUUCCAGAUAUGCUUGUUGAGAAGGUACAAACCCCUCUUCCUGAUUACUGCACAGUGACACACCAUGUAGAGGCACCCGAGACCCGGUGUGUUUUUUGAAGCUGGGAAUAAGCUCACAUUUUGUGUCUCAUUGCAGGUGAAGAGGUGUGGGCUGGCUGUAAGUAAGUUCAUCCCCCAGUGUCAGGAGCAUGUUUGGGCAGGGUUUUCAUGUGCUCAGAGGGUGUGUGGCUCCAGAGUGCUGUGGGGGUGGAGGGGACUCUCUGACUCCUCUGCACGUGGCUCAACAACCAUCAAAGUGACUUGCCAGUAGCGAUUUGAGCCAUGCUGAGAUCUCUGCUUCUCCAGAACAAGCCCACUUUGGGACUUAUGCUUUCUAACCUGCAUCAGUUACCACUAAAGUUCUGCAUCAAAUUUCAGAAAUGCAUGCUAACCUUUAAAAAACUAAAUGUCCUAAAUACAAUCUAACUUGAGAACGGGGACUGUUUUUAGGGUUAUAUACUUGUGGUAUUCCAACCAGGAGUAUUCCAUUCAGUCUGGCAGAGUAGGGCUCUGACAGAGGUAGGAUUUUGCUGUGGACUCUGGAGCUUUGAAAUUCACUCCUUUGAGAAGGAGAAUAAAAUGAAGGCAGCAAAGGGUGGGAGGGUUAGAGACAUGUUGAUUUACUGGAAUAAUCUGGAUUUUUUUGGGAGAAAGGUCUGACUGCAUUCAGUAUAACUGGAUAUAUAUCUAAUUAAUGGCAGAAUGCCCAGUGCUUUUGGAAAGCAUUUAUGGACCCAAAGUAAUAAUUCAUUGCACGAUGGAUCCUUAGCAAAGGACCUGACUGUGAUCUGUGCCAGGACCACUCUCUAGCUUGGUUUCUCCCUGCAUUUUAUGUUGUGAUGCAUAUUUGCAGGCCUCCUGAACCUAAGAUCGAUGGGUUAGAAACCUGUUUUGUAGAAGAAAUGUGUCCAGUUAAACUUAUUCUAUCUUAAAACCAUAAAAUUUAUUCUUUGCUCUUGUGUGACAUUGUUUUAGGGUGUUUUAGGUCUCUUUACCAGCAGCUUAUGCACAUCCAUAUCUCUGGUAGAAUAAGUUUGCAGAGAUGUGCAACAAAUAUUAUAAAGGCCCUCUAUGCCUUCAAAAUACAUUUUGAAGCUAAUGAUUAACUUUGCAUAAUAGGUUGACUACUUCUACAGCAAGGUGGUGUGACAGACUGGAAAAUCUAUUCAUUUGUUUUCCUAUUUAAAAGAAAAAUAAGUGCAGAGCCAUAAAUAAGGAGGUGAAGCAUAACCACUUAGCACACAAAUGUAUAUUAAGCAGCACUUGAUGGGUACGUUUUACAAUUUGUUCCUGAGAGCAUUGCUGACCUGUGUAAUUUCAAGUGUGCAGUAAAAUGAAGGCCUUCUAGAUGGAUCUGGCAAUAUCAACUCACAGGAUGCUCUGUGGAACACCUGGACAAUUGCAAAGGCAAUUGUAAUUCAUUCUAAAGGUUGCUUUUCAGGCGUAUUUUCUGGAGUUUUGAGGUUAUAUUUUCAUAUAAGAGGACAGCUUGGUAACUGAGGAGAAAAUGUUAUCUUAUCUGAAGCUUGAAAACACAUUUUGGGUUGUUUGGGGUUUUUGGUUUUACUUUUUUUUUUUUUUUCCCCAGAAUUAUGGUAGGGUUUUCUCAAGAAAUUCCUGAAAACUACUAAGCAAAAAUUUAUCUUCAGUGAACUCUACUGGUAUUGUUGUUUUUGUCAUGUAAUCAUUACUUUUUAAGUGUUUUUCUACUCCUGACUGGUCUUCUAAGGGUUUUCUUUGUCAGAAUGUAGAUCCCUUCUAUAUAUCACAUUAAAUCUCACUAAAUCUCACUGAUGUUUAAGUGUCUUUUAAGAAAGAGACAAGUGAGGCAGUGUCUUAAGAAUCACAAAAUGCUUUAAAAGACAAAUUUCCCAUACUAGUAUGAUGCCCAACCAUAUUUUUUUGUUUGUUUGUUUCUACUCUGAAUUAAUUAUUCGGUAAUGUUGGGUUUAUUACUACAGCUUUUAUCUGCAUUUCAGAUAGUCAGACUUGGCAAAGGCAAUUUGAGGUCAUUGCCCCCCCCCCACCAAGUUAAAAGGACCAGAGCUCCUGCUGGGACAUCCUUGCUCCCAGCUGCAAUGAACAGUGGUAGACUAUUCUAAUUUUUUUUAAGCUCUCAGUAUUUCUGCUGAUACUUAAAUAGGGAUUGCUGACUUUUUGGUAUUUCUGAAAAUGUCUGUCUUGUCUUAGCAUCCUCAGCAAAUGGGAGCUCAGCUCUACUGAAAAUUUGGCUUCAGGUCUGUAUACUUAUGGCAACUUCCCCUGUGAAUAGUGAGUUCUGUUGUUAAUUAAUGCAAGCUUUGUUAUAAUUUCAUCAUUCCUUCUGUUAGGCAAAUUUUCUGUUUAUUAUAACUAUCAUGGUAGUGUUUAUUUGCCUUAGUCAAGAACUCAGGCCUCAUGGUUUAUGGAAAUAAUAAUUACUGCUAGUUUCCUUUUUUAGCACUCUUUCUUAAGGAAACAUGGGUCAUGCUGUCAUGCUGUAUGUCUGGCAGCCUACUCCAAAUAACUUUGGAAUCUUUUAAUUAAUUCCAGCCAAAGUUUACUGUGGGAGUUCUACCAAUUUUGCGGAAACUGGCUACCAGCAAGAGGAGAAGGUGAUGCAAAUCAGUGUUCCUGCUGCAAGGAAGACCGUGUUGUGAGCUUAUGUUAUUUCCUUUCUGGAAGCAGGCAUGUGCCGGUUGGCCAAGCAGCAUAAAUAUACCUCUUGUGCUACCUCUUCAGUAAUCAGGAAAUCCUUGAGGGAGGUGGCUGCACUGUGUCCUCAUUUUGAACAAGAAUGCAAGAGUGGAGGGAGGUUGUAAGUAGCAUAGAGGAGGACUUGGAUAUAUUGAGUGGGGAUUUGGGAAACAGUCUUCAUUAGCUCUGCAGCACUCAGAUUAACUAGAUUUAUUUUUUUAGUGUACUUUGGAGUGCAGAUAUUCACUAGGAUUUUAAUGGGAGUCUUCCUAAGAAGAACUGGGAAAAUCCAUGGGAAAUCUUAGAAGUGAUGAUGAUGAUUUUCAGGACUACUAAGGGUCCCAGAAAAACACAUUUUGGAUAUCACAGAUGCUCUACAUUGACUGGAUAACAAGCUAAUGUGAUUAAGAAAUGAGGAAUUCUUCUCUGGAUUGGAUACCAUAAAUAUUUUUUAAUUAAUGGUUUUAUUUCAUUUUAUUUAGCAUUUUAAUGCUAAACUAGUGUCAUGGCUGAAUGCCAGCUUUUGGACAAAUUCCAGCUUAAGUAAUUGCAUCCUAUCUAAUGAAUUUCCCUAUCUGGCAUUAACUGGAAAAGCUGUUCUUCACUUCCUGUUUUAACCUUGUCUAUAAUGUUGCUGUGUGCUAUAGGUUACUAUGAUUAAUCCUGGAAAUGUCUGCAUUUUAAUAGAUAAAUACAUAUGCACUAGGCAAGUUUAGGAACAAAACAACUAGACAGAUAUGUCCCCCUUCCAUCUUCCAUGCUGCAUCACCUGUGAAGCAAGAAUACUGCCCUCUUUCAAAUAAAAAUAUUCCCACUCAAGCAUUACUAAUCACACUCUUCUCCAGUAGCUGGAAACCUUAAAAACCAUAAUAUAAGCUUUAAUUCUACUGAUAGGUAUGGAUAUUAGAAGGGUUCUUUUUAGCUGGAGUGGCAAAGAUCCAGAGUUAAAGGUUCUGGAUUUACUCCACAGUGUCUCAAGGACCUUGUUCAGGUGUGGCCUGUACAUGUGCAGCUGGCCAAGCCUUUGUUCAUGUGGCUGGGGAGGGAAGGAAGAAAUCUUACACAAAAUAGAUCAAGUGAGAACUCUUUACUACUGUUUUUACAAAAUUAAAUUAAAUUUCUCUAAUCUCAAGUGGUAUUUACAAUAUAAAUUAUCUAUAUAUAUUCAGCCUCGUAGCAUCCAAAAUAAUUAAAGCCAGAAAACAUGUUUCUAUUCAUAAAUUCUUGGGAGUUUUUGACCAUAUUGGCUGCCUAUUCUUAGUUUGCCUUCCUGGAUUUGCAUGCUGAAUUUAAAUAUGCAGCCUUAGCUAUUGAGAACACUUUCUUCAAGUUUCCUUUGUUUUGCAAGGCAUGCUGAGACCUACAUAUGAAGACAAAUUUGAAGAAAAUUGCUUUAAUAAUGUUAUGCACAAUUAAAAUGUGCAAGCUCUGGGACCACUUUCCUGAUGUGAGUGUAUAUAUUUGGACACAUAGAACAUGAAGUAGAAUUUUUUUCAGCUUUCUCAGUGUUAGCAUUUCUGUGUGGCAGAAGGCUGAUGUUAUGGAAACAUAGCUAAUUAUUUUGUAGAUCUAUGUGUUAGGUUUCACAGGCUCUUUGAAAACUCACAUUAGGUAAUUUGAUGACCAUCUACUGCCUUGUAUAUCACAAGCCAUCAAGCCCCACUUGACAUUCUGCAAUCACAGUAAUGAUACUAUGGGCUACAGACUUUUACUAGAACUCUGGAGACUAAGGGUGAUACAAGAAUUGGCAACAGUCUUACUGUUCCAUACCUUAUUGUUAUGCACGGACACUUUAUUUCUGAGCUGAAUUGGUGCACCUUCAUAUUUCAGCAAUUGUAUCUUAUUACGCUAAGUUCUUCCUGCCUAUCAAGAACAUCCAGCCCCAGGAGUUUCCUCUGGGAUUCAAAAUCUGGUGAAUUUAUUUUUUAACCUUCAUUCACACUGCAUCUGAGGUGUGAUAUAGAUUCCUGUUAUUUGCUGAAGUAAGGGAAUGUUGGCAGUAUCAAGCUCUUUACAGGAGGACUGACAUGACUAGAUGCUCCUUUGAAGAUUUACCUCACUAUCUUGGAGGAACAGCCCAGCCACUGUGGGAACAAAACUGCUGCAUCUGGGCAGCCCCUUCCCCAGCUGUCUGACUAGCAUUGAGCUGGUUCUGCCCCUGUAGAAGUGACUGUAAGGUGAAGUAGACACGUUCUUCAGAGCUGCCAGUUCUUGUAUCUUGCCCAGUAGGGCACGCUCAAACAUCAACAAAUCGCUACCUUGAAUGGAAACAUCACAGGAAAAGUCUUCAUGUUUUUGGAACAAAGUCACAUGUCAUUGUGCCUUCGUGGUGUUGAUGAAUGUCCUUGUGACACAGAAAUGUUUCCCCUUGUGAUGACAGGUUUCGGAUCUCUGUGGAAGUGCACAGUGCCCCGGGGCACGUUUGGAUAUGGAGAACAAACUUUAUUGGUGAUAGAUUCAAAUUGCUUAAAAGAAGGUGCUAUAUCUGACAAGAAGCAUUUCUUCAGGCACUCUGCAUUUACUGCCAGGCUCUCACCACAGUGCUAUAAACACCAUCUUUUGAAGAAUUACUUCUGCUUUCAAGACAUAUGCAAUGGGUGCUAGGAGCUUCCAGAACUGCUUAUAAAAUGGCACUGUGAAGGCUUGCAAACAGGGUCUCAGAAGAUGGACUGAGGUGCCCAUUUCUCUGUGCUGCUACUUUCUCUCUUGUUUUUUCAGUGUGGAGGUGUUUCUUAACAUCAGAGAUGAGAACAAACUGCAGUAUCCAGAUCUGGAGACAAGCAUCCUUAAAUUAUUAAUGUACAAUUUAUCUUUGGUUUUAAGAAUGGAGGAACAAGAAGGAUGAUGGUAACACUUUGAAAAGCCCUGUGAGAUCUUCAGUCAGUCAGUUAACACUGUUGACUGCUUCUUCUAAGCCACAAUGAAUUCAGUGUGUGAAAUAUUUGAAAAUUAUCUAAUUGGAGAAAGUUGUCUUGCAUUUGACCAUUUUCUUUUUGCAACACAUUGAUCUGCUGAUAUAUUACAGUCAACCAGCUCAAUGCACUGUUGAGAUAUUUUAUUGUAAUACAUUAACAGAGCAAUGGUCAUUGAUUGAUAACAGGGGAGCAAAGGAAGAUAUCUUCUGUAUGUUUUGCUUAAAAUAAAAUAUAUAAAAAAGGAGAUAUGCUGGGAAAUACUCUGUUCUCACUCCAUUACAAAUCCAAUAACAUUUCAUUGACAUUUGUGGGGUUUCUCCAGAGUAGUAUGUGGUAUGGCUGAGAACUGAAUUUGUGUUGCAUACACUAACAUCCUGUCAAUAUCCUCUUUACCAGGCACAUUUUCUAAUAUCAGAUGCUUUGUUUGUAUUGAAAUAAAAAUCAGAUAUACAGUUAUAAUUUGGGUCUAGAAUGAUCUUUGCAAGUUUUCAGUCAGUUAGUAUUUAGGCAUGUGCAUGUAUGUCUUUGUGUAUGUAUAUUUCUUUGAAUAAUUAAUGUGAUGAAUAAAGCUAUACUUUACCUCA
Columba livia (rock pigeon) is the source of this 6336-nucleotide long non-coding RNA. RefSeq lists it as uncharacterized. NCBI's taxonomy places the organism in Eukaryota, Metazoa, Chordata, Aves, Columbiformes, Columbidae. The record is from RefSeq and is a predicted model, not a curated record. The transcript has 6 exons.